AUUGAACGCUGGCGGAAUGCUUUACACAUGCAAGUCGAACGGCAGCACGGACUUCGGUCUGGUGGCGAGUGGCGAACGGGUGAGUAAUGUAUCGGAACGUGCCCAGUCGUGGGGGAUAACGUAGUGAAAAUUACGCUAAUACCGCAUACGAUCUAUGGAUGAAAGCGGGGGAUCGCAAGACCUCGCGCGAUUGGAGCGGCCGAUAUCAGAUUAGGUAGUUGGUGGGGUAAAGGCCCACCAAGCCAACGAUCUGUAGCUGGUCUGAGAGGACGACCAGCCAAACUGGAACGGAGACACGGUCCAGAAUCCUACGUGAGGCAGCAGUGGGGAAUUUUGGACAAUGGGCGAAAGCCUGAUCCAGCCAUUCCGCGUGCAGGAUGAAGGCCCUCGGGUUGUAAACUGCUUUUGUACAGAACGAAAAGGUUUCUACUAAUACUAGGAGCUCAUGACGGUACUGUAAGAAUAAGCACCGGCUAACUACGUGCCAGCAGCCGCCGUAA
This 500-nucleotide ribosomal RNA is filed under the name uncultured bacterium. Its description in RNAcentral is "partial 16S ribosomal RNA". It matches the Rfam family "Bacterial small subunit ribosomal RNA", at positions 30 to 523 of the family's 1533-position model. The record is from RNAcentral.